Molecule: long non-coding RNA, 676 nt
Filed under: Anser brachyrhynchus (Pink-footed goose)
Lineage: Eukaryota; Metazoa; Chordata; Aves; Anseriformes; Anatidae
Description: lncRNA (ENSABRG00000000023.1)
Source: RNAcentral
UUAAAAGAGAAACCCUCCCCAGGGAGGAAAAGAGGGAAGCCACCUGUAGCCCAUCCCUACUGAUGGUUCUUUUGAGCAGCCUGAGAAAGCUGUGCCUGCAGGAUUACAGAGCAGAGCCAGGAGGAGCUUGGAAGAGGGAGUGUUUGUGCUUUUGUAAGGAAUCGUGAAAUGAAGUAGCAUCCUGUUCAGCAGCUCUCCUUUAUGAAUUUGAGGAACAUACUGAGCACCUAAAGAAUCCAAGGCUAGCUUGUAUAGACUAAACAACAAACAAAUGGGAGCUGGAGACUGUGCCUUCCUACCCACCCAACAUGACCACCCAACAUGGCCAGUGACAGAUGUACAGUGGUUUGAGCACACGAGGGUCACAGCAAUGGGAAUCUGGACACCUCAUCACUGCUUCAGUUCACAGCUGCUCAAAGAAGGAAGGAGGCAUCCAGGAGAAGACACAAUGAAGCAUGCCUGGAGAGACAGACAAGAAAUUGCGAUAGAAGAACCAGAUAUUUCCACUCCUACUUGCUGCUUCCUAGCUAUCCUCCAACACCACAUCUUGCAAGGAGGGUGCUGCUCCGUGUGAACUGAGGCUGUGUCUACACUAACUGGUACCACCUUUCUCUAUUCCAUAUUCUGACGAUAAUUAAUAUAUUUAACAUGCGUGUACUCUUGGACCAAGGAAAAC